Molecule: ribosomal RNA, 301 nt
Filed under: uncultured bacterium
Lineage: Bacteria
Description: partial 16S ribosomal RNA
Rfam family: Bacterial small subunit ribosomal RNA
Source: RNAcentral
CAGUAGCCGCGGGAAUACGGAGGGUGCAAGCGUUAAUCGGAAUUACUGGGCGUAAAGCGCACGCAGGCGGUCUGACAAGUCAGAUGUGAAAUCCCCGGGCUUAACCUGGGAACUGCAUUUGAAACUGUCAGGCUGGAGUCUUGUAGAGGGGGGUGGAAUUCCAGGUGUAGCGGUGAAAUGCGUAGAGAUCUGGAGGAAUACCGGUGGCGAAGGCGGCCCCCUGGACAAAGACUGACGCUCAGGUGCGAAAGCGUGGGGAGCAAACAGGAUUAGAUACCCGCGUAGUCCCUGUCUCUUAUAU